RNAcentral lists this ribosomal RNA (780 nucleotides) under Enterococcus sp. X36-CRBM-E14. Its description in RNAcentral is "bacterial SSU rRNA". It matches the Rfam family "Bacterial small subunit ribosomal RNA", at positions 56 to 818 of the family's 1533-position model. The record is from RNAcentral. Lineage: Bacteria; Bacillati; Bacillota; Bacilli; Lactobacillales; Enterococcaceae.
UGCAAGUCGAGCGAACAGACGAAGUACUUGUACUUCUGACGUUAGCGGCGGACGGGUGAGUAACACGUAAGGAAUCUACCUAUAAGCGGGGGAUAACAUUCGGAAACGGAUGCUAAUACCGCAUAACAUUUACUUCCGCAUGGAAGUAAAUUGAAAGACGGCUCUGCUGUCACUUAUAGAUGACCUUGCGGUGCAUUAGUUAGUUGGUGGGGUAAUGGCCUACCAAGACGAUGAUGCAUAGCCGACCUGAGAGGGUGAUCGGCCACAUUGGGACUGAGACACGGCCCAAACUCCUACGGGAGGCAGCAGUAGGGAAUCUUCCGCAAUGGGCGAAAGCCUGACGGAGCAAUGCCGCGUGAGUGAAGAAGGCCUUCGGGUCGUAAAACUCUGUUAUAAGAGAAGAACAAAUUGUAGAGUAACUGCUACAGUCUUGACGGUAUCUUAUCAGAAAGCCACGGCUAACUACGUGCCAGCAGCCGCGGUAAUACGUAGGUGGCAAGCGUUGUCCGGAUUUAUUGGGCGUAAAGGGAGCGCAGGUGGUUUCUUAAGUCUGAUGUGAAAGCCCACGGCUCAACCGUGGAGGGUCAUUGGAAACUGGGGAACUUGAGUACAGAAGAGGAAUGUGGAACUCCAUGUGUAGCGGUGGAAUGCGUAGAUAUAUGGAAGAACACCAGUGGCGAAGGCGACAUUCUGGUCUGUUACUGACACUGAGGCUCGAAAGCGUGGGGAGCAAACAGGAUUAGAUACCCUGGUAGUCCACGCCGUAAACGAUGAGUGCUA